This 750-nucleotide ribosomal RNA is filed under the name uncultured bacterium. Its description in RNAcentral is "bacterial SSU rRNA". It matches the Rfam family "Bacterial small subunit ribosomal RNA", at positions 28 to 760 of the family's 1533-position model. The record is from RNAcentral.
GACGAACGCUGGCGGCGUGCCUAAUACAUGCAAGUUGAGCGCUGAAGGUUGGUACUUGUACCGACUGGAUGAGCAGCGAACGGGUGAGUAACGCGUGGGGAAUCUGCCUUUGAGCGGGGGACAACAUUUGGAAACGAAUGCUAAUACCGCAUAAAAACUUUAAACACAAGUUUUAAGUUUGAAAGAUGCAAUUGCAUCACUCAAAGAUGAUCCCGCGUUGUAUUAGCUAGUUGGUGAGGUAAAGGCUCACCAAGGCGAUGAUACAUAGCCGACCUGAGAGGGUGAUCGGCCACAUUGGGACUGAGACACGGCCCAAACUCCUACGGGAGGCAGUAGUAGGGAAUCUUCGGCAAUGGACGAAAGUCUGACCGAGCAACGCCGCGUGAAUGAAGAAGGUUUUCGGAUCGUAAAACUCUGUUGUUAGAGAAGAACAGGGAUGAGAGUAAAACGUUCAUCCUAUGACGGUAUCUAACCAGAAAGCCACGGCUAACUACGUGCCAGCAGCCGCGGUAAUACGUAGGUGGCAAGCGUUGUCCGGAUUUAUUGGGCGUAAAGCGAGCGCAGGCGGUUUCUUAAGUCUGAUGUGAAAGCCCCCGGCUCAACCGGGGAGGGUCAUUGGAAACUGGGAGACUUGAGUGCAGAAGAGGAGAGUGGAAUUCCAUGUGUAGCGGUGAAAUGCGUAGAUAUAUGGAGGAACACCAGUGGCGAAGGCGGCUCUCUGGUCUGUAACUGACGCUGAGGCUCGAAAGC